CAGCCGCCACGGUAAUACGAAGGGGGCUAGCGUUGUUCGGAUUUACUGGGCGUAAAGCGCACGUAGGCGGAUCCUUAAGUCAGAGGUGAAAUCCCAAGGCUCAACCUUGGAACUGCCUUUGAUACUGGGGAUCUCGAGUCCGGGAGAGGUGAGUGGAACUGCGAGUGUAGAGGUGAAAUUCGUAGAUAUUCGCAAGAACACCAGUGGCGAAGGCGGCUCACUGGCCCGGUACUGACGCUGAGGUGCGAAAGCGUGGGGAGCAAACAGGAUUAGAUACCCCCGUAGUCCCUGUCUCUUAUAC
RNAcentral lists this ribosomal RNA (301 nucleotides) under uncultured bacterium. RNAcentral describes it as "partial 16S ribosomal RNA". It matches the Rfam family "Bacterial small subunit ribosomal RNA", at positions 509 to 807 of the family's 1533-position model. The record is from RNAcentral.